UAGAUUUAUUGAAAGACGAAGAAGAAGAAAAUGGCGGAAGAAAAAGUGAUCGCCUGCCACUCCGUCGCCGCCUGGACCGAGCACCUCGAGAAGAGCAACGUCGACAAGAAACUGGUAUAUUUUUAUUCUCACACACUUCUUUUUUUUUUCAAUUUGCAUUCUUUGUUGAAUAAGUUAAAUUAAAAUUUUAAUUUUAGUGCUGUAUUUUGCGAUCAGAUUUUUUGCGUAUUUUCUUGUUGGCCUUAUUGAAUUUUUGGGUAGAAUUUUAGGGCAAUUUUUUUGAAGAAAAUGCUAGCUUUUGUCCCUGAACUUUUGUCUAAUUGGAGAUUUGGUCCCUGGCCGAGUGGAUGGUACUGGUCCGGUAUAGCUCCAAUUCGACUAAAGUUCAUGGACCGGUGCUCCUGUUUUCUCUUUUCGAAUUAAAGAACGAGACUUGGGUGUAUGGCAGUCUGGCAGAUUACAGUUCGAAUUUAGUCUGAAUUUCGUAUGGCUUGUACAUUGCUUAACCAAUUUGAUAUGUAAAUUUGGUGCCUACUGUAAAAGCUGGUGGUUGGUUCGGUCGAUUUUGGGUCCCGGAUUGACCUGUUUGCAGGAAAAUAUAUGAUAAAAACUUCUCGUCUUGUCGCCAAGUUUUAGCCAUGCUGGGUUCGAAUUUAUGCAAUUAUUUUCUCAGUGAUUCCUCUUUAGAGAAUGAAAAUGUUAUCUUUUCAUGAUUGAUUGCUUUAAGCGACCGCGUAUGAGGUUGAUUUCAUGUUUUCUGUAUACAAUGUGUAGCGAAUUAAGAUCACUAAUUUGGGCUAUAUUUCAAUAGAUUGUGGUCGACUUCACGGCUACAUGGUGUGGACCUUGCCGGUUCAUUGCACCCAUCUUCGCGGAGUUGGCUAGGAAGAACCCGGAAGUGACAUUCCUAAAGGUGGACGUGGAUGAGUUGAAGACUGUUAGUGAGGAGUGGGGCGUGGAGGCAAUGCCGACCUUCUUGUUCCUCAAGGAAGGCAAGGUAGUUGACAAGGUUGUGGGUGCUAAGAAAGAAGAGUUACAGCUCAAAGUUGUGAAGCAUGCCGCUCCAGCUGAUGUUCCAGCUGAUGUCGCAACUGCUUCUGCUUAGCUUUUCGCACUCACUUUCGGGAAUGUGAACCUCCUACUAUGCUUUACUACUUGUUUAUAACUUUUAUGGGUUCCUGAAGACAUGAAUGUUUUAUGUAUAUAUGAUUACAUGUACCUAUAUGAUGAUGCCUUGAAUCUACUAUCUAUGAAUAAGAAUUUCAAUGAUAAGAUAUUAUGAUAUAUUUCAUGCCAAUUGCAAUUGAGUUCUAGCGAGACGUGAAAUAUUAAGUAAUAUUUGUAUAUCUGAAUUCUCUUCAUAUUAGUUUUUAAUGAUAUUUGAAGUAAAAAUAGCGAAUUCUUUAUAAAAAAAUAUCAAUGUACAAGGAGUCAAUGUCAGAGAACCCUAGGGCCUCAUUUCGAAGGCUCGUCUAAGACCUCUAAUUCUCAAGAUUACUUAUGUCUUACCAUUUAUUCAUAUCAUUUCUAUUAGGUGGACUCUAAUACAGAUAGUGUAAAACUACUCUGAAGAAAAUAUAUGUUGGGCUUUAAUCAAUUUAUGGCGGUGAGCCCCAUCUACAACCGAGAGGAAUAUAUCCCAUUUGGGCCUCUGUCCAGGUUCAUUUGACCGGACCUGCCCUCACUACAUGACAAAAUACAUUACGUCACUGCGGAUGGUAUGCGCGCGCGUAUACCGUUACCAUCACAAACGUUAUUCACACAUAAUGGCAUUACUGCAAUUAAAUCAAAUGUUAAGCCCUUUUAGUUAAGAUUGGCAUCCGGCUAUAUAUAUGUAUAUACGCGGAGGCCCGAUCCCUUUCCCAAAUCAUCGCAAGAGAAAAAUCGAGCUCUGAACAACUUGAUUUGUUGAAAGAAAGCGAAGAAGAAGAAAAUGGCGGAGGAAAAAGUGAUCGCCUGCCACUCUGUCGCCGCCUGGACCGAGCACCUCGAGAAGAGCCACGUCGACAAGAAACUGGUAUUUUUUUUUUCUCGCGCACUUCAUUUUUCCCUUUUGCAUUUUUUGUCGAAUAAAGUUUAAUUUUAGUAUUCUGCUGUUUUGUGAUGUAUUAUUGAAUGAUUGUAAUUUGUGAUCAUUUUUUUUUACUUUCUUGUUCGCCGUAUUGGAUUAGUGGCUAGAAUUUUAGUGUUGGAUAGUGGCUGUGACCAACAUGCAAAUACUUUUUGAUUAAAUAAAAGAAAAAAAAUGGGUGGACAACGUCAUUGUGUCCAUUCCUUGUUUUGGAGAGAAAAAAAAAGGCACCUUGUCUAAGGUUAUUUGUUUGGCCAUCAACACAUGUGGAUUUUGGUUCUUAACAUAGUGUUGCUGCCUUUGGAGCAAUUAGAGAGAAAAUGAAGAGCACCACAAAGAGAAGUGAGAGCUGCCGAGACCAGAGAGAGAUGCAGAGAGCCUAAAACAAGAAAGAGAUGCUGCUCCAUUUGUUAGUAAUCAUCUAUCAAGGUAGUUGUUGUAAUAGUUUUGAGCUUUGUAUAGAGAGGAAGUUAUUUAAUAUAUUUAUCUCUAUUUGUUUCUUUGGUGUGUGAGAGCUAUUGGUUGUAUUGGAGUUUUGAGUUAUGAGUUUGCCAACACUUUGUAAACUCCCAUUUGAUUGAUAGUAGAUUAUUAGGUUAGCUUCUAUUGCUCCGAUGACGUACUCCAGUUACACUGACUGUUGAGGAACCUCGUUAAAAUCUUGGUGUCUUUUAUAUUUUGUUCUUGCAUUCCAUUUGAUAUAUUUUUUGUGGGUUAGAUUGAGUUGGUUCCAAUCUUGCCAAAGAUGUCAGACGGGCAAGAUGAGAUUCCUUUUGGAAGCAGCUCCGGGUUUGCAAGAAUUACGGUGCAAAAUGCAAAGUUCGAAAUGGAAAAGUUUGAUGGCACAAACAACUUCGGGAUGUGGCAAUAUGAGGUCAAAGAUGUGUUGGCUCAACAAGAUCUACUUGCCGCUUUGGGAGAAAAGCCAGGAGCUAUGUCGAAGCCGGAAUGGGAGAAAUUAAAUUUGUGGGCUUGCUCUUCAAUUCGGUUGUGUCUUGCAAAAACUCAAAAGUAUUUUGUGAUGCAGGAGACAUUGGCAAGUGUGUUGUGGCAAAAAUUGGAAGACAAGUAUAUGAUGAAGAGUGCAGAGAACCGGCUACACUUGAAGAAAAAACUCUACAGCUUCCAAUACAAAGAAGGUACAAAAAUGAUUAGACACUUUGAUGCUUGUAAUAAGUUAAUUGCUGACUUGUUAAAUUUAGAUGAGGAUAUUAAGAAUGAAGAUAAGCCCUUAACAUUGUUGAAUUCUUUGCCGGACCUUUAUGAGCAUUUUGUUACCAUUAUUAUGCAUGGUAAAGAAACUGUGAAAUUUAAAGAUGUGUCAAAUGCCUUGAUGAAUUAUGAAAUGAGGCCUUGAUGAAUUAUGAAAUGAGGCAUAGAGAUAAAAAUCAUGAUAGUACCUUUGAAGCUUUAUUUGUUAGAGGUAGAUCAUCGGAGAGGAGAUCCUCUUCUAGUAGGAAAAAAUCACACUCUCGACUUAGAGGAAACUCUAAAAGUAGAAAAACCUUAGAAAUGGAAGAAUGUGCCUUUUGUCAUAAUAAGGGUUAUCGGAAGAAAGAUUGUCCUAGGCUGAAGACCAAAGGAAAAGAAAGUUCUGAAACCAAUGUUGCUGAUGUUGAAACAGAUUUUUUUAUUAUUUUGCUUUAACCACUUCCUCAUCAUUUGAUUGUGCUACUAAAUGGGUGUUGGAUACGAGUUGUACUCAUCAUAUGGCUCCACACAAAGAUUGGUUUUCAAGCUUGAAAGAGUUUGAUGGUGGUGUUGUGUUCAUUGGAGAUGACAAUUCUUGUACAACAAAAGGGAUUGGUACAGUUCGUUUGAAGUUGCAUGAUGACAUAGUUAAAGAGCUGACAGGUGUUCGGUAUGUACCAAAUUUGAAGAAAAAUCUUAUUUCUUUGGGCACUUUAGAAUCCAAGGGCUUCAGGUUUCAUUCAGAUGGGCAGACAUUGAAAAUUAUUUAUGGUGCACUUGUUGUGAUGAAAGCUCCUCGAUGUGGUCAUUUGUAUCUAUUGCAAGGAAACACCGUGACAAGUGAAGCAUCUGUAGUCUCAGAAAAUAUGGGCACAUCUGAUUCAGAUACUACUAGACUGUGACAUAUGAGAUUAGGCCAUACCGGUGAGAAAGCUCUACAAGGGCUUGUGAAAAAAUAUCUUCUAAAAGGUGCCACGACUUGUCUACAGUUACACUGACUGUUGAGGAAUCUCGUUAAAAUCUUGGUAUCUUUUAUAUUUUGUUCUUGCAUUCCAUUUGAUAUAUUUCUUGUGGGUUAGAUUGAGUUGGUUCCAAUUGGUUUGGUGUUGUCCUAGCACAAUAUGUAGUACAAAAUUUUAAAAUAGAAAAUUGUAGCUUUGUGGCUUGACUUUGGUCUAAUUGAAGAUUUGGUCCGUGGAUGGUCGAUGUGACAAAUCAAUUCUUUGGGUUGUUAACGGGCACCGAUAAGAAUUAUUAACAACCCAAUGGGUUGAUUCGCUACUUCUACAGUUCUACUGGGUGGUACUGGUCUUUAAAGUUUAGUCUAACCAAUUGCUCCAAUUCGACUAAAGAUGAUGGACCAAUUCUCUUAUUUUCUCUUUCCGAAUUCAUGUACAAGAAUCAUGAAUGGGGUGGAUGGCAGAUUACCGUUGGAAUUUGUUACGUAUGGCUUGUACAUUGCUUAACCGAUUAGAUAUGUAAAUUUGGUGCCUUUUGUAAUAGCUGGUGGUUGAUGGGGUCGAUUUUGUGUCCUGGAUUGGCCUGUUUGCAAGGAAAUAUAUGAUGCAAACUUCUCUUGUCGACGAGUUUUAGCCAUGUUGGGUUCGAAUGUAUACAAUUAUUUUCUCAGCGAUUCCUCUGUAGAGAAUGAAAAUGUCAUCUUUUCGUGAUUGAUUGCUUUAAGCGACCGUGGUUGAUUUCAUGUAUUCUUUAUACAAUGUUUAGCGAAUUAAGAUCACUAAUUCGGUCUAUACUUCAAUAGGUUGUGGUCGACUUCACGGCUAUAUGGUGUGGACCUUGCCGGUUCAUUGCACCCAUCUUCGCGGAGUUGGCUAGGAAGAACCCGGAAGUGACAUUCCUAAAGGUGGACGUGGAUGAGCUGAAGACUGUUACCGAGGAGUGGGGCGUGGAGGCAAUGCCGACCUUCUUGAUCCUCAAGGAAGGCAAGGUAGUUGACAAGGUUGUGGGUGCUAAGAAAGAAGAGUUACAGCUCAAAGUUGUGAAGCAUGCCACUCCAGCUGAUGUCGCAACUGCUUCUGCCUAACUUUCGGACUCUCUUUCGAGAAUAUGAAC
Molecule: long non-coding RNA, 5335 nt
Filed under: Malus domestica (apple)
Lineage: Eukaryota; Viridiplantae; Streptophyta; Magnoliopsida; Rosales; Rosaceae
Description: long non-coding RNA (MDOM_LNC014434)
Source: RNAcentral